This 143-nucleotide ribosomal RNA is filed under the name uncultured bacterium. RNAcentral's name for it is "partial 16S ribosomal RNA". It matches the Rfam family "Bacterial small subunit ribosomal RNA", at positions 350 to 509 of the family's 1533-position model. The record is from RNAcentral.
AGCAGUGGGAAUAUUGCACAAUGGAGGAAACGUCCUGAUGCAGCGACGCCGCGUGAGUGAAGAAGUAUUUCGGUAUGUAAAGCUCUAUCAGCAGGGAAGAAAAUGACGGUACCUGACUAAGAAGCACCGGCUAAAUACGUGCC